CAAAGAUUCAGGGGUGUGGCACAGUCUCAACGUGUGGCAUGGAGCCAAGAACUUGGCCAAAAGGAUCCACGUUGCAGCACAGAUCAAGGGCCAUUCCAGUCUCAUCCACUGGAUGAAGGACAUUGUAAAUCACUUUUGGUGGUGCUGCAAAACGGCUGACUCAUCCCACGACUUCCUUCUCACCUUAAGUCUUUCCAAAAUCACGUACUGAUGUAUGCCAGUAAGCAUUCCGCAUAGCCCACCUGCAUUUGAGGCUAGAAUCCUGCUCGCAGCCCUUGACUACAACUACCACAAGGACCGACCACACAGGACGAAACCUGAUGGAAGCAAACAUGCCAGCAUUCCAGACAGACUGAUGAGCAGCAGUGCCCACUGGAGUAAUAACCUCAUAACUGUGCCUGUUGUCACUUUAUAGUCCAUGUUAUAUUCAUUAUUUAUGAGUAUUCAUUCAUAUCUGUAUUGUAAACAUAUUCUGCAUUGCUUUUCCAGUAAGGUCAUUGCCCUGCCUUGAGUUACAUUGCACUAUUAUAGUGAGAAUCACUCGAAUCUUGAUACUAAUAACUAGUAAGUACUUGAAUCUUUAUUACUACAUUUUAUUAUUGUUUUUGUAUUAUUCUUACUGAUCUCAGUAUUCCUAUAUCAUUAAUUUAGUCAUACUAUGUACAGCAGUUAGUUUUAAGAAAUAUUUCACUUAUCACCACUGUAACUUGUGUGUCACAACCAUACAACUCAAUUUGAUUACAAAACCAUCUUGUAAUCCCUUUUGUGUGUAUGUAACUGCCUGUAUUUCUCUGUAAAUAGGAAUAAAAACAA
This is a long non-coding RNA of Siniperca chuatsi (mandarin fish), 813 nucleotides long. RefSeq lists it as uncharacterized. Lineage: Eukaryota; Metazoa; Chordata; Actinopteri; Centrarchiformes; Sinipercidae. The record is from RefSeq and is a predicted model, not a curated record. The transcript has 4 exons.